This 484-nucleotide ribosomal RNA is filed under the name uncultured bacterium. RNAcentral describes it as "partial 16S ribosomal RNA". It matches the Rfam family "Bacterial small subunit ribosomal RNA", at positions 30 to 507 of the family's 1533-position model. The record is from RNAcentral.
AUUGAACGCUGGCGGCAGGCCUAACACAUGCAAGUCGAGCGGAUGAAGGGAGCUUGCUCCUGAAUUCAGCGGCGGACGGGUGAGUAAUGCCUAGGAAUCUGCCUGGUAGUGGGGGAUAACGUCCGGAAACGGGCGCUAAUACCGCAUACGUCCUGAGGGAGAAAGUGGGGGAUCUUCGGACCUCACGCUAUCAGAUGAGCCUAGGUCGGAUUAGCUAGUUGGUGGGGUAAAGGCCUACCAAGGCGACGAUCCGUAACUGGUCUGAGAGGAUGAUCAGUCACACUGGAACUGAGACACGGUCCAGACUCCUACGGGAGGCAGCAGUGGGGAAUAUUGGACAAAGGGCGAAGGCCUGAUCCAGCCAUGCCGCGUGUGUGAAGAAGGUCUUCGGAUUGUAAAGCACUUUAAGUUGGGAGGAAGGGCAGUAAGUUAAUACCUUGCUGUUUUGACGUUACCAACAGAAUAAGCACCGGCUAACUUCGUG